Molecule: long non-coding RNA, 292 nt
Filed under: Fukomys damarensis (Damara mole-rat)
Lineage: Eukaryota; Metazoa; Chordata; Mammalia; Rodentia; Bathyergidae
Description: lncRNA (ENSFDAG00000026688.1)
Source: RNAcentral
GUGUUAACCUUACCUGCGAGGCUGGGGCUGCAGCUCGCUCGUCGUGUUCUGCUGUUUCCUUGUGUGAAAUGUCAGUAGCAGCGGCCGGGAUGUUCUGAGGAAAUCAGACCACAGAGGAGGUAGCAUUUGUAGUGAGGGUCUGUUCCCCGUGGGACCGUGGUCAGCUUGUGUUGCGGAAGAGAAAAGAAGUGCUGGCGAGGCUGCGGGGGAGAGGAACCUGUUUGUGUUGUUGGUACUGAAACUAGAGCCGCUACGGAAAUCAGUGUGGAGAUCCCCAAACAACCAAAAGUAG